GUUGUAACAUAAUUACAGCGAGCGAGCCGAUUACAGUUCAUGUUGUACCAUGAAUUGUUUAACUACCCUCUAGGAUUACCAGUCCUAUGGUAGUCGGUUC
RNAcentral lists this antisense RNA (100 nucleotides) under Enterococcus faecalis. RNAcentral describes it as "Anti-Q RNA". It matches the Rfam family "Anti-Q RNA". From Rfam's summary of the family: Qa RNA is a cis-regulatory element from Enterococcus faecalis which is known to negatively regulate prgQ transcription via an antisense mechanism. The record is from RNAcentral. Lineage: Bacteria; Bacillati; Bacillota; Bacilli; Lactobacillales; Enterococcaceae. RNAcentral also lists the same sequence under 1 other name.